UGGCUCAGGAUGAACGCUGGCGGCAUGCCUAAUACAUGCAAGUCGAACGAGUAGACCUUCGGGUUGCUAGUGGCGAACGGGUGAGUAACACGUAGAUAACCAACCCUUAUGACGAGGAUACCCGGGGAAACCUGGACUAAUACUGGAUAGGAGCUAAUUUCACAAGAGGUUAGUUUUAAAGGCGCCUCAAAGCGCCGCAAGAGGAUGGGACUACGUCGCAUUAGCUAGUUGGUGGGGUAACGGCCCACCAAAGCGACGAUCAGUAGCCGGCCUGAGAGGGUGAACGGCCACAUUGGGACUGAGACACGGCCCAAACUCCUACGGGAGGCAGCAGUGGGGAAUAUUGCACAAUGGGCGCAAGCCUGAUGCAGCCAACGCCGCGUGAGUGAAGAAGUAUUUCGGUAUGUAAAGCUCUAUCGGCAGGGAAGAAAGGCCCGAAAGGGAGAUGACGGUACCUGACUAAGAAGCCCCGGCUAACUACGUGCCAGCAGCCGC
RNAcentral lists this ribosomal RNA (495 nucleotides) under uncultured bacterium. Its description in RNAcentral is "bacterial SSU rRNA". It matches the Rfam family "Bacterial small subunit ribosomal RNA", at positions 20 to 518 of the family's 1533-position model. The record is from RNAcentral.